RNAcentral lists this ribosomal RNA (492 nucleotides) under uncultured bacterium. RNAcentral's name for it is "bacterial SSU rRNA". It matches the Rfam family "Bacterial small subunit ribosomal RNA", at positions 26 to 507 of the family's 1533-position model. The record is from RNAcentral.
AGGAUGAACGCUAGCGAUAGGCCUAACACAUGCAAGUCGAGGGGCAGCACAUGAAGCAGCAAUGCGGAUGGUGGCGACCGGCGCACGGGUGAGUAACGCGUAUGCAACCUACCUACAACAGGGAAUAACCCGUUGAAAAACGGACUAAUACCCCAUAAAACAGGGAUCCCGCAGUGGGAAUAUUUGUUAAAGAUUUAUCGGUUGUAGAUGGGCAUGCGUUCCAUUAGCUAGUUGGUGAGGUAACGGCUCACCAAGGCAACGAUGGAUAGGGGAACUGAGAGGUUUAUCCCCCACACUGGUACUGAGACACGGACCAGACUCCUACGGGAGGCAGCAGUGAGGAAUAUUGGUCAAUGGGCGCAAGCCUGAACCAGCCACGUCGCGUGAAGGAAGACGGCCCUACGGGUUGUAAACUUCUUUUGUAAGGGAAUAAAGUGUAGUACGUGUACUAUUUUGCAUGUACCUUACGAAUAAGGAUCGGCUAACUCCGUG